This is a long non-coding RNA of Ailuropoda melanoleuca (giant panda), 497 nucleotides long. RefSeq lists it as uncharacterized. The record is from RefSeq and is a predicted model, not a curated record. The transcript has 2 exons. NCBI's taxonomy places the organism in Eukaryota, Metazoa, Chordata, Mammalia, Carnivora, Ursidae.
CAGAGCAUUAUUCAGCAUAACAAAAACUUGGUAAAAUGUUUGUAUGGCUUAAAAAUUGGCAAUUUGAGGACACGGAGUGCUUUUAAAAGCCACUUCCAAAAAUAUGGCAAUCAUCUUCCCAUAAUAAUGAAAACGAUCUGACACAUCUGUGCUCAAUUUCUGCUUUGGAGGAUUGGGGCUGGAGACACAGGAGUGAAGUGGUAAAGUCACAGAGGACAAGCAAGCGGAGAAGGGACCGUGUACAUCAUCAACCUGAUGCCUCUGGACGUGCUAUGAAGCUCAGGAGCUGCCAGCGUCAGGGUCUGGGAGCUGCCAGUGGAUCUGAACAGCCCUGGACCUGACCCUGGAGUCUGCCUCUGACCCCAUGGGUGACUGCCUGACUCCAGCUCAUUGGGGGCACCCAUCCUAGCCACAUCUUUGCACUCACUCCUCCCCGCAAACCCUUCUGGGCAACACCAUUCCCAGGAGCCUUAGAGCGCCCCAGCCCAGGUCCCAGC